Molecule: long non-coding RNA, 236 nt
Organism: Oenanthe melanoleuca
Lineage: Eukaryota; Metazoa; Chordata; Aves; Passeriformes; Muscicapidae
Exons: 3
Source: RefSeq, a predicted model, not a curated record
AAGAAAAUGAGCGAUUCUGGGCAAUUCUGAAGGGUGUGGGUGACAAAUAAAACGGAAAUGGACUGACCUUGUUGGAGAGCCUGGAGAGGAACUCCUGCACCAUAGUGUCCUGUGGGGGAGGAGAAAAACAAAGGGAAAAUCAUUUAUUUGAGGGGAAAACUGCCCAGUUUGGGGUUUCUGGAAUGUGAGGGUGGCGCUGCAGGAAUUCCCUGUUCCAGCCCCAAAACGGGGUCGAG